AUUGAACGCUGGCGGCAUGCCUUACACAUGCAGGUCGAACGGCAGCGCGGGGCAACCUGGCGGCGAGUGGCGAACGGGUGAGUAAUAUAUCGGAACGUACCCUGGAGUGGGGGAUAACGUAGCGAAAGUUACGCUAAUACCGCAUACGAUCUAAGGAUGAAAGUGGGGGAUUCGCAAGAACCUCAUGCUCCUGGAGCGGCCGAUAUCUGAUUAGCUAGUUGGUAGGGUAAAAGCCUACCAAGGCAUCGAUCAGUAGCUGGUCUGAGAGGACGACCAGCCACACUGGAACUGAGACACGGUCCAGACUCCUACGGGAGGCAGCAGUGGGGAAUUUUGGACAAUGGGCGCAAGCCUGAUCCAGCAAUGCCGCGUGAGUGAAGAAGGCCUUCGGGUUGUAAAGCUCUUUUGUCAGGGAAGAAACGGGUUUUUCUAAUACAGAGAUCUAAUGACGGUACCUGAAGAAUAAGCACCGGCUAACUACGUGCCAGCAGCCGCGGUAAUACGUAGGGUGCAAGCGUUAAUCGGAAUUACUGGGCGUAAAGCGUGCGCAGGCGGUUUUGUAAGACUGUCGUGAAAUCCCCGGGCUCAACCUGGGAAUGGCGAUGGUGACUGCAAGGCUAGAGUUUGGCAGAGGGGGGUAGAAUUCCACGUGUAGCAGUGAAAUGCGUAGAUAUGUGGAGGAACACCGAUGGCGAAGGCAGCCCCCUGGGUCAAAACUGACGCUCAUGCACGAAAGCGUGGGGAGCAAACAGGAUUAGAUACCCUGGUAGUCCACGCCCUAAACGAUGUCUACUAGUUGUCGGGUUUUAAUUAACUUGGUAACGCAGCUAACGCGUGAAGUAGACCGCCUGGGGAGUACGGUCGCAAGAUUAAAACUCAAAGGAAUUGACGGGGACCCGCACAAGCGGUGGAUGAUGUGGAUUAAUUCGAUGCAACGCGAAANACCUUACCUACCCUUGACAUGGCAGAAAUCCUCGAGAGAUUGAGGAGUGCUCGAAAGAGAAUCUGCACACAGGUGCUGCAUGGCUGUCGUCAGCUCGUGUCGUGAGAUGUUGGGUUAAGUCCCGCAACGAGCGCAACCCUUGUCAUUAGUUGCUACGAAAGAGCACUCUAAUGAGACUGCCGGUGACAAACCGGAGGAAGGUGGGGAUGACGUCAAGUCCUCAUGGCCCUUAUGGGUAGGGCUUCACACGUCAUAC
RNAcentral lists this ribosomal RNA (1199 nucleotides) under uncultured bacterium. Its description in RNAcentral is "bacterial SSU rRNA". It matches the Rfam family "Bacterial small subunit ribosomal RNA", at positions 28 to 1228 of the family's 1533-position model. The record is from RNAcentral.